UGAGGAAUAUUGGUCAAUGGGUGCAAGCCUGAACCAGCCAUCCCGCGUGAAGGACGACUGCCCUAUGGGUUGUAAACUUCUUUUGUAUAGGGAUAAACCUACCCUCGUGAGGGUAGCUGAAGGUACUAUACGAAUAAGCACCGGCUAACUCCGUGCCAGCAGCCGCGGUAAUACGGAGGGUGCAAGCGUUAUCCGGAUUUAUUGGGUUUAAAGGGUCCGUAGGCGGACUUAUAAGUCAGUGGUGAAAGCCUGUCGCUUAACGAUAGAACUGCCAUUGAUACUGUAAGUCUUGAGUAUAUUUGAGGUAGCUGGAAUAAGUAGUGUAGCGGUGAAAUGCAUAGAUAUUACUUAGAACACCAAUGGCGAAGGCAGUCACUUGGUCCAUUACUGACGCUAAAGCACGAAAGCGUGGGUAGCAAACA
Molecule: ribosomal RNA, 422 nt
Filed under: uncultured bacterium
Lineage: Bacteria
Description: bacterial SSU rRNA
Rfam family: Bacterial small subunit ribosomal RNA
Source: RNAcentral